This 294-nucleotide unclassified non-coding RNA is filed under the name Hevea brasiliensis (rubber tree). The record is from RNAcentral. Lineage: Eukaryota; Viridiplantae; Streptophyta; Magnoliopsida; Malpighiales; Euphorbiaceae.
CCAGGUAUACAAGGCGGAAAUGGGAAACCGAUCAGUGUUGGUAGGAGAAAAAGCUUGGGAAGCAUCUGUUUGGUUAGAAUAGCCAGUGAAUCUGAUGGAUCUAAUCAUUAAUUGCUUAGGAUAGUAGAAAAAAUAGCCGGGGAAAACUCAUUUCUGUGGGAUUAUUGUAAAUAGCUAAGAUUUGAUUCCAUCUGUAACAUGUAAACAGGCGGCAUUUUUUCAGCCUGUUGGUCAAUUUAGCGCCAUCAUCAGUCUUUGGGUUCAAUGCAACAAUUAAUUAAGCUAGAGGGUCAA